Molecule: small RNA, 696 nt
Filed under: Pan troglodytes (chimpanzee)
Lineage: Eukaryota; Metazoa; Chordata; Mammalia; Primates; Hominidae
Description: processed transcript
Source: RNAcentral
AGGGAGCCCGCCGCUGUCCCCCCGCGGUCAUUGCCCCCCUGCCCCAGCCAAGCCAAUGCACCCAGAAAAUAAAUUGACCAAUCAUGGCAAGACAGGGAAUGGCGGGGCCCAAUCUCAGCACCAGAAUGUGAACCAAGGACCCACCUGCAACCUGGGCUCGAAGGGCGUGGGGGCGGGGAACCAUGGGGCCAAGGCCAACCAGAUCUCGCCUAGCAACUCAAGUCUGAAGAACCCCCAGGCAGGGGUGCCCCCUUUCAGCUCGCUCAAGGGCAAGGUGAAGAGGGAACGGAGUGUGUCUGUGGACUCUGGAGAGCAGCGAGAGGCUGGGACCCCAUCCCUGGAUUCAGAGGCCAAAGAGGUGGCGCCGCGGAGUAAGCGGCGCUGUGUGCUGGAGCGGAAGCAGCCGUACAGUGGGGACGAAUGGUGCUCUGGACCGGACAGUGAGGAGGACGACAAGCCCAUUGGGGCCACCCACAGGCUGCAGAGGCAGUGCUGCAGGGCCGGGCCGACUCCAUCCUCGCCUACCACCAGCAGAACGUGCCCCGGGCCAAGCUUGACCAGGCCCCUAAAGUGCCCCCCACCCCAGAACCGCUACCCCUGAGCACGCCGUCAGCAGGCACCCCGCAGUCCCAGCCACCUCCACUGCCGCCGCCGCCACCCCCGGCCCCUGGCAGUGCCCCGCCUGCUCUGCCCCCA